Molecule: long non-coding RNA, 197 nt
Organism: Syzygium oleosum
Lineage: Eukaryota; Viridiplantae; Streptophyta; Magnoliopsida; Myrtales; Myrtaceae
Exons: 2
Source: RefSeq, a predicted model, not a curated record
GUGUGCUUGAUGGCUUUAGAAGUUCUUUGACUCCUAGAGUCUUGGAAGCUUUGAUUUGCACUCAAGAUUGGUUGAGAGCGGUUAUCGAGCCGAUUAAUAUUGAAGAGUGCAUCGAGAAUGCGGAAAAGUUUGAGUUGGAUAUGGAUCAUGUUAACGUGGAGAUUAACAGUACAUAGAGUUUACAAGUUGAAGCGAAA